UACGGGGGGGGCAAGCGUUGUUCGGAAUUACUGGGCGUAAAGGGUUCGUAGGUGGCUCGCUAAGUCAGACGUGAAAUCCCUCAGCUUAACUGGGGAACUGCGUCUGAGACUGGCAAGCUUGAGUGCAGGAGAGGAACGCGGAAUUCCAGGUGUAGCGGUGAAAUGCGUAGAUAUCUGGAGGAACACCGGUGGCGAAGGCGGCGUUCUGGACUGCAACUGACACUGAUGAACGAAAGCCAGGGGAGCAAACGGG
This 253-nucleotide ribosomal RNA is filed under the name uncultured bacterium. Its description in RNAcentral is "partial 16S ribosomal RNA". It matches the Rfam family "Bacterial small subunit ribosomal RNA", at positions 524 to 776 of the family's 1533-position model. The record is from RNAcentral.